GACGAACGCUGGCGGCGUGCUUAACACAUGCAAGUGGAGCGACGAACCGGGGCUUGCCCCGGGGCAGAGCCGCGAACGGGUGAGUAACACGUGGGUAACCUGCCUCAAUGAUUGGGACAACCCGGGGAAACUCGGGCUAAUACCAAAUGUGUUCACUCCUUCUAAGGGGGAGUGAGGAAAGGAAGCUUCGGCCUCCGCAUUGAGAUGGGCCCGCGGCCCAUUAGCUUGUGGUGAGGUAACGGCUCACCAAGGCUUCGAUGGUAGCUGGUCUGAGAGGACGAUCAGCCACACUGGGACUGAGACACGGCCCAGACUCCUACGGGAGGCAGCAGUGGGGAAUCUUGCACAAUGCGCGAAAGCGUGAUGCAGCAACGCCGCGUGGGGGAAGAC
This 390-nucleotide ribosomal RNA is filed under the name uncultured bacterium. RNAcentral's name for it is "bacterial SSU rRNA". It matches the Rfam family "Bacterial small subunit ribosomal RNA", at positions 28 to 412 of the family's 1533-position model. The record is from RNAcentral.